AGGGAAUCUUCCACAAUGGACGCAAGUCUGAUGGAGCAACGCCGCGUGAGUGAAGAAGGUUUUCGGACCGUAAAGCUCUGUUGUUGGUGAAGAAGGAUAGAGGUAGUAACUGGCCUUUAUUUGACGGUAAUCAACCAGAAAGUCACGGCUAACUACGUGCCAGCAGCCGCGGUAAUACGUAGGUGGCAAGCGUUGUCCGGAUUUAUUGGGCGUAAAGCGAGCGCAGGCGGAAGAAUAAGUCUGAUGUGAAAGCCCUCGGCUUAACCGAGGAAUUGCAUCGGAAACUGUUUUCUUGAGUGCAGAAGAGGAGAGUAGAACUCCAUGUGUAGCGGUGGAAUGCGUAGAUAUAUGGAAGAAUACCAGUGGCGAAGGCGGCUCUCUGGUCUGCAACUGACGCUGAGGCUCGAAAGCAUGGGUAGCGAACAGGAUUAGAUACCCUGGUAGUCCAUGCCGUAAACGAUGAGUGCUAAGUGUUGGGAGGCUUCCGCCUCUCAGUGCUGCAGCUAACGCAUUAAGCACUCCGCCU
This 526-nucleotide ribosomal RNA is filed under the name uncultured bacterium. RNAcentral's name for it is "partial 16S ribosomal RNA". It matches the Rfam family "Bacterial small subunit ribosomal RNA", at positions 356 to 874 of the family's 1533-position model. The record is from RNAcentral.